GCCCAGAUAGCUCAGUCGGUAGAGCAAAGGACUGAAAAUCCUUGUGUCGCUGGUUCGAUUCCGGCCCUGGGCA
This is a non-coding RNA of Clostridiales bacterium GWD2_32_19, 73 nucleotides long. Lineage: Bacteria; Bacillati; Bacillota; Clostridia; Eubacteriales. The record is from Rfam.